RNAcentral lists this ribosomal RNA (474 nucleotides) under uncultured bacterium. RNAcentral describes it as "bacterial SSU rRNA". It matches the Rfam family "Bacterial small subunit ribosomal RNA", at positions 30 to 504 of the family's 1533-position model. The record is from RNAcentral.
UGAACGCUGGCGGCAUGCCUAACACAUGCAAGUCGAACGCGAAAGCGCCUUCGGGUGUGAGUAGAGUGGCGGACGGGUGAGUAACGCGUGGGAAUCUGCCCUGCAGUGGGGGACAACCCGAGGAAACUCGGGCUAAUACCGCAUACGUCCUAUGGGAGAAAGGGGGCCUUCGGGCUCUCGCUGCAGGAUGAGCCCGCGUCCGAUUAGCUUGUUGGUGGGGUAACGGCCUACCAAGGCGACGAUCGGUAGCUGGUCUGAGAGGAUGAUCAGCCACACUGGGACUGAGACACGGCCCAGACUCCUACGGGAGGCAGCAGUGGGGAAUAUUGGACAAUGGGCGAAAGCCUGAUCCAGCAAUGCCGCGUGUGUGAAGAAGGCCUGCGGGUUGUAAAGCACUUUCAGUGGGGAAGAAAAGCGCGAGGUUAAUACCCUUGUGUGUUGACGUUACCCACAGAAGAAGCACCGGCUAACUCC